CGUGCUAAUCUGCGAUAAGCGCCGGUAAGGUGAUAUGAACCGUUAUAACCGGCGAUACCCGAAUGGGGAAACCCAGUGUGAUUCGUCACACUAUCAUUAACUGAAUCCAUAGGUUAAUGAGGCGAACCGGGGGAACUGAAACAUCUAAGUACCCCGAGGAAAAGAAAUCAACCGAGAUUCCCCCAGUAGCGGCGAGCGAACGGGGAGGAGCCCAGAGCCUGAAUCAGCAUGUGUGUUAGUGGAAGCGUCUGGAAAGGCGCGCGAUACAGGGUGACAGCCCCGUACACAAAAGCGCAUGUGCUGUGAGCUCGAUGAGUAGGGCGGGACACGUGGUAUCCUGUCUGAAUAUGGGGGGACCAUCCUCCAAGGCUAAAUACUCCUGACUGACCGAUAGUGAACCAGUACCGUGAGGGAAAGGCGAAAAGAACCCCGGCGAGGGGAGUGAAAAAGAACCUGAAACCGUGUACGUACAAGCAGUGGGAGCCCCACCAC
This 492-nucleotide ribosomal RNA is filed under the name Salmonella enterica subsp. enterica serovar Ituri. Its description in RNAcentral is "partial 23S ribosomal RNA". It matches the Rfam family "Bacterial large subunit ribosomal RNA", at positions 57 to 588 of the family's 2925-position model. The record is from RNAcentral. Lineage: Bacteria; Pseudomonadati; Pseudomonadota; Gammaproteobacteria; Enterobacterales; Enterobacteriaceae.